This 5130-nucleotide long non-coding RNA is filed under the name Triticum aestivum (bread wheat). RNAcentral's name for it is "long non-coding RNA (TAES_LNC016380)". Lineage: Eukaryota; Viridiplantae; Streptophyta; Magnoliopsida; Poales; Poaceae. The record is from RNAcentral.
CCAAUACGGGGUGGCCUCUAUGCUUCCGUUCGCGUGGUGGCCAUGUGGCUGGUCGAGGGAACACAGGUGAGGCGGACUGUCACCUAUUUGUCGAUCUGUGCCCACCUCCUAUUCUUCCUCUCCCCAUCGAACAUCACGUCCGUAGUUACUGCCACACAUGGCGCUCUCCUCUCCUGCAGUGACCCUGUUGUGCCCCUUCACACAUCGGACCACCGUGGCGCGGAAGUACCUGGAGAAGAUCACGCUCCGCUUAGCAAAUUCGGGUGUUUUCAGUCGGCUACCCAGCAAGGUAAUUUUUUCCAGAAGUUCUUUCAUGGAACUUGGGUGGAAUGGAUUCGUGGGUGUGCUAGGUGGAGUGCCAUUAGAUUGCCAUGUUAAUGGUCAGAAUAUCCUCUCCUGCACACACGAACUUGGGUUUGCCAAGGAAAUAGGUCAAUACUACUAUCAUUUGGCUUUGCAAUGGUCACUUACAUAGUUCUGUUUUUUCAAAUCAUGAUGGUUUAGUUUGUUUGUUACCAGCUGCUUAAAUUAGGACUAACAGUCGAGAGUUGUCGAUUGGAUUGAAUUUGGAAGAGGACAAUAUAAUUUUGUUAUAGUUUGUGGUUCAGUUAGCUUUGAAAAAAUGUUUAGGUGAUGAAUAAUACACAAUGAAUUGCUUUCUGUUGCCCAGUGUACUACAAUUUAAUAUGCAGAAUGUGAGCUUAAACUUUUUGCCGAGAAAAUGUCUGCAAAACUGCUAAUUCCCAGGAGUAAUUCAUUCCCCGUCCAAGUAUUUAUUAUUAAUUGAUGCUUCAUCCGUUUAUGCUGCAGAGUCAUGGUCACAUGGAUGAUUAGCAUCUUUUGGCAAAAGCAUGUUAAUUCACUGAAUAAAUACUAUUGCACCUAUGACUAUGAGCGAAGAUGUCCACUCAUGAUUUUUGAGGACCACUUGAGGAUGUGAUCAGUAGUGCGGCUUCAAAGCUGCUUGAUAUGACAUAGCGUUUGAUUUUUACAAAUCUGAAAGUCGAGCCUAAGCAAUGUUACGGUUCAGAUCUAAACCUUAUAGUUGCUGAUUAUUUGUUGUGCGUUACUAAUCUGACCGGCCAUCAAUCUCCACCUUAACCUUUUUUUAUCUUUCUUAUUAGCUCCACGUCUCUAGCGUCUAUAGAGUCCUAACCCAAGAAUCUCUCCUGCCGCCUUGAGUCCAAACCCUCGGCAAGAGUCUCCCCUGCAUCCUCCUCUUCUCCGUGCCGUCUAUGCCCCCUUCUUUUGCUUCUCGGGUCGCUAUUGUGACGCGUCCGUCGUCUUUUUCAUGAGCAGCUAGAUGAUUUCAGUCUGAGAUUACAUCCUCCUAUAGAGAAUCUUACCCUUUCCAUGCUGUCACUGUAGCCAGGUCUAGCAAACUGGUCGUCCCUAUGGUGUUUAGGCUUUCCCUAGGUGGACGAUCUGGUCUUUUUUAUGCGAUGUCCAAAGAGUUGCUCGCUGCAAUGAUCAAUGGCUGCAAAGCAGCAUCUUAUCCGAUUACAGUUGUUUUAAGUAGCUAACAAUGGCUGCAAAGCAGCAUCUUAUCUAUUAGUUUUUCACCAUCCGAUUAAUACUCUGUAGUUCAUUAUGUUCACAUGACAAAGGAAUUUGAAGUUAAUAAAAAAAUCUGACAGUUACUCCAUGCAAUUAGUUGUAAUUAGAGGACACUGGGAAAUAAGGUUUCAAUCAGUACACUGCUAUUGUAUGUGAAUAGUUAUAUAUGAAGGGAGAAUAAGCCACGGCUGACGAGCCGGGCGUGUCGAGUGCGGGUAUGGGCGCGCACUGGGCUCGCUGGGCGCGUCGGGUCCGGGCAGUAGGGCGUGCGUGUGUGCGUGCGUUGGGUGCACGGGCGUGUCCGUGCACCAGGGUAGCGUGUAGGGGCCGUUGGCGAGCCACGCGGGUCGAUCAGGGUGCGUUGGGCUGAUGCUCACCGCGAGACGCGGCCGUGCGCUGGUAUGUAGCGUGCGCGGUCAGAGCAUGCAGAGCGCGGAGAUGAUCGCGGGCGAGUGGAGGCGUGGGUGCGUGCCCAGGGCGCCGGCUCGGGGCUAUAAAGCCGCCUGGUGACGUUGUAAUGGUUUGACACAGCCGAGUUCGUGCUCGAGGAAGAAAAGGGGGCGUUCGUGCGCCGGGAAAAACUCUGUGUCCACCGUUUCUCUGAAUCUCUCUGAACUUCUUCUUCUUCUCUCCGGUGAGCUAGCCACGGCAGCUCUGAGCGAGCAGAGCGAGAGGGAGAGGCGAGCUAGGGCUAGAGAGUGGAGGUUCCAACAAUUGGCAUCAGAGCCACGUGGAGGAGGGAGCUCGCCGGCGAUGUCCAUCGUGUCGUACGCCGGCGGAUCGGGCAGCACGGUGGCGCAUGCGGCGCUGGUGCUCACGGGCGACAACUACACCACCUGGGCCAUCAAGGUGGAGGCGGACCUUGAUGCCGCAGGGCUGUGGGAGGCGGUGGUGCCGCCGGAGGACGCGGCGUCGGCGGUGAUCGCCAAGAAAGACAAGCCGGCAAGGGCUUACCUGCUCCGGGCGCUCGCCGACGACCUUCUGCUGCAGGUGGUCGCGAAGAAAACCGCGGCGGAGAUAUGGAGCAGCCUGAAGGCGCGGUUCGUCGGAGCUGAUCGCGUGCGGGCGGCGCGACUGGGCACGUUGCGCGGGGAGUGGGAGCUCCUGCGCAUGGCAAGCGACGAGUCGCUGGACGCGUUCGCGGGGAAGAUCAGCGGGAUGGCGGCGCGUUUUGCAGGGCUCGGAGCGACGCUGGAGGAUACAACUAUGGUGAAGAAGCUGCUGGACUGUGUGCCCGAUCGUCUGUACGCGGCGGUCGCUGGCAUGGAGCAGUUCUGCAACCUGGAUGAGCUGCGGUUCGACGAUGCUCUGGGCGCCUGAAGGCGUUCGACGAGCGGCUGCGGCGGCGAGGACAGGCAGGCGGCGAGGGCGCGGAUGGGCAGCCGCUGUACACUGCAGCACAGUGGCGCGCGCGCGAGCGGCGUCGAGGCGGUGCCCGCGGAGAGGACGAUGACGACGGCGCGGCAAGCACGGCAUCAGGCAGCGGGGACAACCGUCGCGGCAAGUGCUACAAGUGCGGCGUCAGAGAGCACUUCAAGCGGGAGUGCCCCCUGCUGCGGAAGGAGCCGGCCGCGGGGCGUGCACUGCUGGUCGACGGCGACGUUGAGGACGCCGGGCUGCUCUGAGCCGCGGCUUAGGGCGUGAAUGAAGGGAGAAUAAGCCAUGGCUGACGAGCCGGGCGUGUCGAGUGCGGGUAUGGGCGCGCACUGGGCUCGCUAGGCGCGUCGGGUCCGGGCAAUAGGGCGUGCGUGUGUGCGUGCGUUGGGUGCACGGGCGUGUCCGUGCACCAGGGUAGCGUGUAGGGGCCGUUGGCGAGCCACGCGGAUCGAUCGGGGUGCGUUGGGCUGAUGCUCACCGCGAGACGCGGGCGUGCGCUGGUAUGUAGCGUGCGCGGUCAAAGCAUGCAGAGCGCGGAGAUGAUCGCGGGCGAGUGGAGGCGUGGGUGCGUGCCCAGGGCGCCGGCUCGGGGCUAUAAAGCCGCCUGGUGACGUUGUAAUGGUUUGACACAGUCGAGUUCGUGCUCGAGGAAGAAAAGGGGGCGUUCGUGCGCCGGGAAAAACUCUGUGUCCACCGUUUCUCUGAAUCUCUCUGAACUUCUUCUCUCCGGUGAGCUAGCCACGGCAGCUGUGAGCGAGCAGAGCGAGAGGGAGAGGCGAGCUAGGGCUAGAGAGUGGAGGUUCCAACAAUAUAAGUUGGUAUAUUUGAAGGAUGUGAAGACAAAAUCGUAGUAUUUACAACAGAAUCUUUGUUGCUUACAUAUUGAGCAUGAUCUCCAUGCAUGUGGUCUUUGUUUCUUAAGCUCCCAAACUAAGCUUAAGGUGCCAUAUGGAGAUGGAGAUGGCCACACACCGACAGGUUAGGGAUUUUGAGGUCCAUAGUGGCGAGUAUUUUGGGGAAAAAUUUAUGGUGCAAAUGAUAUGCUAAAGUUUAGAUGCAGAGUACCUGCUUUGAUCUGUAAGCUGCACACAGGGCAGAGGAUGCAAUUUGGUUUAGAAGAAGAAAACACAUUGACACCAUGGCUUAUAAUUCUUAGGAUAGUAUCAGAAAGUAUAUGCAAUAUGGUUUAGGUAACAAAAACACAGCAUUAUGUCUUCCGUUGGAAAAUUUGCCACUCCGGAGACAUAAACAGAAUUAUCACUUUCAUCUUAUUGCUGGUAUUUUCUUAAAGUAAGAAGAUAAAGAAGAGAUGGAUUUAUAUGAAGCAGGCUUGCCGCAACAGUCAAAAGAUGAUGUCUCAGUAUUUCACACUUAAAGCGAGGACAAGUGCUCAUAAAUGAUUAUAUGUAUCUACUUUAUUAAACUAGCAUAUUCACUAAUCCCCCGAAUCCAUGUACUAUAUAUUCUUCCUUAUUGCAUGACGUUCUUUUGCUAAUUGAUAAAUAUGUCCAUUUUCACUAUAAUUUCACAAUAUCUGCUAUGUACAGUGGCAUCAUUGAGCAUUCCUUUACUUUUCACAUUUCAGUUCAAUGUUCUGCACAGUGCACAGUAUAACACUACAUUGGAUGGCGCUAUUAAAUACUUCGAGGUCAUGUGACAGAGCACGGAAAAAGAACUAUCGAGGUAUGUUUUAUGCUCAUACUACGAUUUUGAGAUUCAGAUGCAGUUUUAUUUAGAACACAUUUUUAUCAUAAUAUUCAAUUCCAAUGCAUUUGGAAUGGGUCAAGUCAAUUGUAAGAGUUGAAUUAGCUACUUCGCCUUUGAGUCCUUUGUGGUUUAGUUGUAAUUUUUUAUUCAAUAAAUUCCUAAAUGCACCAUUUCUUAUGAGAAGGGUUUUAAAAAUCAAAAUCACAAUGUUGUAUAUAUGUUUCGUGCCUCUCACGUCAAUCCUAAGAGGGCACAGGUUGGGUUCAAUAUUUUUAUCGUCAGAUCUAACCAUGAUGAAGGCAGGCCCCUCCGAUUGAUAUUAGGAAGGUGGAAGGUUGACCAGCCGUCUCUUCCUCUCCGUCGUCUCUCCAUGGUGUGCAUGUUAAGAACUUAUGCAGCAGCGGACGCCAAUUUCAUGCAGCCGCCAGCAUCAACUUUUGUGGAGUCCUCUUCUAGGAUCUGAUACGAGUCCCUCCGACAUCAGAUAAG